UGAGGGAUGAGGCCUUCGGGUUGUAACCUCUUUCAGCAGGCAAUAAGCGAAAGUGAAGGUACCUGCAGAAGAAGCACCGGCUAACUAUGUGCCAGCAGCCGCGGUAAUACAUAGGGUGCAAGCGUUGUCCGGAAUUAUUGGGCGUAAAGAGCUCGUAGGUGGUCGAUCACGUCGGAUGUGAAAAUCUGAGGCUUAACCUCAGACCUGCAUUCGAUACGGGUUGACUAGAGUGUGGUCGGGGAGACUGGAAUUCCUGGUGUAGCGAGUGGAAUGCGCAGAUAUCAGGAGGAACACCGA
This 297-nucleotide ribosomal RNA is filed under the name uncultured bacterium. RNAcentral's name for it is "partial 16S ribosomal RNA". It matches the Rfam family "Bacterial small subunit ribosomal RNA", at positions 402 to 712 of the family's 1533-position model. The record is from RNAcentral.